UACGUAGGUGGCGAGCGUUGUCCGGAUUUACUGGGUGUAAAGGGCGUGUAGGCGGGAUGACAAGUCAGAUGUGAAAUCCCAGGGCUUAACCCUGGAGCUGCAUCUGAAACUGUUUUUCUUGAGUGUCGGAGAGGAAAGUGGAAUUCCCAGUGUAGCGGUGAAAUGCGUAGAGAUUGGGAGGAACACCAGUGGCGAAGGCGGCUUUCUGGACGAUAACUGACGCUGAGGCGCGAAAGCGUGGGGAGCAAACAGG
This 253-nucleotide ribosomal RNA is filed under the name uncultured bacterium. Its description in RNAcentral is "partial 16S ribosomal RNA". It matches the Rfam family "Bacterial small subunit ribosomal RNA", at positions 524 to 776 of the family's 1533-position model. The record is from RNAcentral.